CUCUCGAGUCCGGGCCGCAAGUCCCAGACGCUGCCCAUGGAGGCGUCCAGCGAGCCGCCGCUGGAUGCUAAGUCCGAUGUCACCAACCAGCAGUAUUAAAAUGAAGAUACUUUAUGUAAAUAUGACCAGCGUUGAAACUAAAAGUUGAGUGUAACUGCAGUAAAAUUGAAUAAAUAUCUGCAUUCCAGAAUUUCUACAGACAGUUCAAGGAAAUUGCUGCAGUUAUUGAAACGGUGUGAAGACGGAUUCUUUGGUUGAUAAAUUGCUAUCAUUCUAAAGUCAUGGACUUCACUUUCGGCAACAAAACUAAAUAAGGAUGGAACAUUUAUUGAAUGAAAAAUGCACUUUUGUUUUUCCAUUUUUUUAAAUAAUAAAAAUCAGACAAACAGGAA
RNAcentral lists this long non-coding RNA (392 nucleotides) under Homo sapiens (human). RNAcentral describes it as "non-protein coding lnc-COMMD6-2:10". The record is from RNAcentral. Lineage: Eukaryota; Metazoa; Chordata; Mammalia; Primates; Hominidae.